RNAcentral lists this ribosomal RNA (492 nucleotides) under Termitomyces mammiformis. RNAcentral describes it as "eukaryotic LSU rRNA". It matches the Rfam family "Eukaryotic large subunit ribosomal RNA", at positions 72 to 569 of the family's 3401-position model. Lineage: Eukaryota; Fungi; Basidiomycota; Agaricomycetes; Agaricales; Lyophyllaceae. The record is from RNAcentral.
GGAUUCCCCUAGUAACUGCGAGUGAAGCGGGAAAAGCUCAAAUUUAAAAUCUGGUAGUCUUUGGCUGCCCGAGUUGUAAUCUAGAGAAGCAUUAUCCGCGCUGGACCGUGUACAAGUGUCCUGGAAUGGACUAUCAUAGAGGGUGAGAAUCCCGUCUUUGACACGGACUCCCAGGGCUUUGUGAUGUGCUCUCAAAGAGUCGAGUUGUUUGGGAAUGCAGCUCUAAAUGGGUGGUAAAUUCCAUCUAAAGCUAAAUAUUGGCGAGAGACCGAUAGCGAACAAGUACCGUGAGGGAAAGAUGAAAAGAACUUUGGAAAGAGAGUUAAACAGUACGUGAAAUUGCUGAAAGGGAAACGCUUGAAGUCAGUCGCGUUGGCUGGGGAUCAACCUUGGCUUGGCUUACUUCCCAGUUGACGGGUCAGCAUCAGUUUUGACCGGUGGAUAAAGGCUAGGGGAAUGUGGCACCUUCGGGUGUGUUAUAGCCCUUGGUCA